UUAAAUUGAAGAGUUUGAUCAUGGCUCAGAUUGAACGCUGGCGGCAGGCCUAACACAUGCAAGUCGAACGGUAACAGGAAGCAGCUUGCUGCUUUGCUGACGAGUGGCGGACGGGUGAGUAAUGUCUGGGAAACUGCCCGAUGGAGGGGGAUAACUACUGGAAACGGUAGCUAAUACCGCAUAACGUCGCAAGACCAAAGAGGGGGACCUUCGGGCCUCUUGCCAUCGGAUGUGCCCAGAUGGGAUUAGCUAGUAGGUGGGGUAAUGGCUCACCUAGGCGACGAUCCCUAGCUGGUCUGAGAGGAUGACCAGCCACACUGGAACUGAGACACGGUCCAGACUCCUACGGGAGGCAGCAGUGGGGAAUAUUGCACAAUGGGCGCAAGCCUGAUGCAGCCAUGCCGCGUGUAUGAAGAAGGCCUUCGGGUUGUAAAGUACUUUCAGCGGGGAGGAAGGGAGUAAAGUUAAUACCUUUGCUCAUUGACGUUACCCGCAGAAGAAGCACCGGCUAACUCCGUGCCAGCAGCCGCGGUAAUACGGAGGGUGCAAGCGUUAAUCGGAAUUACUGGGCGUAAAGCGCACGCAGGCGGUUUGUUAAGUCAGAUGUGAAAUCCCCGGGCUCAACCUGGGAACUGCAUCUGAUACUGGCAAGCUUGAGUCUCGUAGAGGGGGGUAGAAUUCCAGGUGUAGCGGUGAAAUGCGUAGAGAUCUGGAGGAAUACCGGUGGCGAAGGCGGCCCCCUGGACGAAGACUGACGCUCAGGUGCGAAAGCGUGGGGAGCAAACAGGAUUAGAUACCCUGGUAGUCCACGCCGUAAACGAUGUCGACUUGGAGGUUGUGCCCUUGAGGCGUGGCUUCCGGAGCUAACGCGUUAAGUCGACCGCCUGGGGAGUACGGCCGCAAGGUUAAAACUCAAAUGAAUUGACGGGGGCCCGCACAAGCGGUGGAGCAUGUGGUUUAAUUCGAUGCAACGCGAAGAACCUUACCUGGUCUUGACAUCCACGGAAGUUUUCAGAGAUGAGAAUGUGCCUUCGGGAACCGUGAGACAGGUGCUGCAUGGCUGUCGUCAGCUCGUGUUGUGAAAUGUUGGGUUAAGUCCCGCAACGAGCGCAACCCUUAUCCUUUGUUGCCAGCGGUCCGGCCGGGAACUCAAAGGAGACUGCCAGUGAUAAACUGGAGGAAGGUGGGGAUGACGUCAAGUCAUCAUGGCCCUUACGACCAGGGCUACACACGUGCUACAAUGGCGCAUACAAAGAGAAGCGACCUCGCGAGAGCAAGCGGACCUCAUAAAGUGCGUCGUAGUCCGGAUUGGAGUCUGCAACUCGACUCCAUGAAGUCGGAAUCGCUAGUAAUCGUGGAUCAGAAUGCCACGGUGAAUACGUUCCCGGGCCUUGUACACACCGCCCGUCACACCAUGGGAGUGGGUUGCAAAAGAAGUAGGUAGCUUAACCUUCGGGAGGGCGCUUACCACUUUGUGAUUCAUGACUGGGGUGAAGUCGUAACAAGGUAACCGUAGGGGAACCUGCGGUUGGAUCACCUCCUUACCUUAAAGAAGC
Molecule: ribosomal RNA, 1556 nt
Filed under: Escherichia coli
Lineage: Bacteria; Pseudomonadati; Pseudomonadota; Gammaproteobacteria; Enterobacterales; Enterobacteriaceae
Description: bacterial SSU rRNA
Rfam family: Bacterial small subunit ribosomal RNA
Source: RNAcentral